RNAcentral lists this ribosomal RNA (578 nucleotides) under uncultured bacterium. RNAcentral describes it as "bacterial SSU rRNA". It matches the Rfam family "Bacterial small subunit ribosomal RNA", at positions 102 to 676 of the family's 1533-position model. The record is from RNAcentral.
ACGGGUGAGUAAUACAUCGGAACGUAUCCUGGAGUGGGGGAUAGCCCGGCGAAAGCCGGAUUAAUACCGCAUACGCUCUGAGGAGGAAAGCGGGGGACCUUCGGGCCUCGCGCUCAAGGGGCGGCCGAUGGCGGAUUAGGUAGUUGGUGGGGUAAAGGCCUACCAAGCCGACGAUCCGUAGCUGGUCUGAGAGGACGACCAGCCACACUGGGACUGAGACACGGCCCAGACUCCUACGGGAGGCAGCAGUGGGGAAUUUUGGACAAUGGGGGCAACCCUGAUCCAGCAAUGCCGCGUGUGUGAAGAAGGCCUUCGGGUUGUAAAGCACUUUUGUCCGGAAAGAAAUCAUCGGGGCCAAUACCCCUGGUGGAUGACGGUACCGGAAGAAUAAGCACCGGCUAACUACGUGCCAGCAGCCGCGGUAAUACGUAGGGUGCGAGCGUUAAUCGGAAUUACUGGGCGUAAAGCGUGCGCAGGCGGUGCUGUAAGACCGAUGUGAAAUCCCCGGGCUUAACCUGGGAACUGCAUUGGUGACUGCAGCGCUGGAGUAUGGCAGAGGGGGGUGGAAAUUUCUACGU